Molecule: ribosomal RNA, 820 nt
Filed under: Alcaligenes faecalis
Lineage: Bacteria; Pseudomonadati; Pseudomonadota; Betaproteobacteria; Burkholderiales; Alcaligenaceae
Description: bacterial SSU rRNA
Rfam family: Bacterial small subunit ribosomal RNA
Source: RNAcentral
GGCCGUUUUUUUUUUUUCCGGAGGGGCGGUUAACACAUGCAAGUCGUACGAAGGCAAGCGAAAAGCUUGCUCUCUUGGCGCCGAGUGGCGCCCUUUGUGAGUAAUAUAUCGGAACGUGCCCAGUAGCGGGGGAUAACUACUCGAAAGAGUGGCUAAUACCGCAUACGCCCUACGGGGGAAAGGGGGGGAUCGCAAGACCUCUCACUAUUGGAGCGGCCGAUAUCGGAUUAGCUAGUUGGUGGGGUAAAGGCUCACCAAGGCAACGAUCCGUAGCUGGUUUGAGAGGACGACCAGCCACACUGGGACUGAGACACGGCCCAGACUCCUACGGGAGGCAGCAGUGGGGAAUUUUGGACAAUGGGGGAAACCCUGAUCCAGCCAUCCCGCGUGUAUGAUGAAGGCCUUCGGGUUGUAAAGUACUUUUGGCAGAGAAGAAAAGGUAUCUCCUAAUACGAGAUACUGCUGACGGUAUCUGCAGAAUAAGCACCGGCUAACUACGUGCCAGCAGCCGCGGUAAUACGUAGGGCGCAAGCGUUAAUCGGAAUUACUGGGCGUAAAGCGUGUGUAGGGCGGUUCGGAAAGAAAGAUGUGAAAUCCCCAGGGCUCAACCUUGGAACUGCAUUUUUAAUCUGCCGGAGCUAGAGGUAUGUCAGAGGGGGGAAGGAAUUCCCACGUGUUAGCAGUGAAAAUGGCGUAGAAUAUUGUGGGAGGAAAUACCGAUUGGCAAAAGGCAGCCCCCCCUGGGAAAAUACUUGACGCUCAGGACACGAAAAGCGCGGGGGGGGAAAGCCGUUUUAGAAUAGCCCUUGGCAGUCCCACG